CAUCUAUGAGGUUGGUGCAAAAGUAAUUGAGGCUUUUACCAUUACUUUCAAUGGCAAAAAUCUCAAUUACUUUUGCACCAAC
RNAcentral lists this microRNA precursor (82 nucleotides) under Saimiri boliviensis boliviensis (Bolivian squirrel monkey). Its description in RNAcentral is "miRNA (ENSSBOG00000014223.1)". The record is from RNAcentral. Lineage: Eukaryota; Metazoa; Chordata; Mammalia; Primates; Cebidae.